UGGUUUUUACGUGGUUAUUAGGCAGUUUCUAAUAUUUUCCAGGUGGUUGCUAACUGGUUGCUAUGGUAUCCGGGGUGGUUGCUAAGGUGUUGCUAGGUGGUUGCUAAGGUGUUGCUAUGGUGUCUUGGGUGGUUGCUAAGGUGUUGCUAGGUGGUUGCUAAGGUGUUGCUAUGGUAUCCGGGGUGGUUGCUAAGGUGUUGCUAGGUGGUUGCAAGGUGGUUGCUAAGGUGUUGCUAGGCAGUUGCUAAGGUGUUGCUAUGGUGUCUUGGGUGGUUGCUAAGGUGUUGCUAGGUGGUUGCUAAGAUGUUGCUAUGGUAUCUGGGGUGGUUGCUAAGGUGUUGCUAGGUGGUUGCUAAGAUGUUGCUAUGGUAUCUGGGGUGGUUGCUAAGGUGUUGCUAGGUGGUUGCUAAGAUGUUGCUAUGGUAUCUGGGGUGGUUGCUAAGGUGUUGCUAGGUGUAUCUAACUGGUCGCUAGGCAGUUGCUACCAUUUCUAAAGUGGUUGCUAAGCAGUUGCUAGGCAGUUGCUAACGUUUUCCAGGUGGUUGCUAAGGUGUUGCUAUCUGGUUGCUAGGCAGUUGCUAACGUAUUACACAUGGUUGCUAAGUGGUUGCUAGGCAGUUGCUAAUGUUUUCCAGGUGGUUGCUAAGGUGUAUCUAACUGGUUCCUAGGCAGUAGUAGAUAAAAAGAAAGAGUGUUAAAUGUAGAAGUACAGAAAAAGGGAGAGCCUGAAAUAGAGAAGUAGAGAGAAAAUCAGCGUGAGAAGUAGAGAAAGAACACCCGAGAAUGUGAGAAAAAGAGUGACAAGUAGGGAGAAAUAUUGAGCGAGAGAAAGAGAAUUAGGGAAAAAGAGAGAUCGAGAAAUAAAGAAGUAGAGAAAGAAAAAGGAUGUAGUAGAGAGAUAGAUAGAAAGAGAAAGCAAGACAGAAAAGUAGAGUGAAAGAGAAGUAGAGAGAAGAGCGAGAAAUAAAGAGAGAGUAAGAGAGAAAUAGAGAAAUAGAAAAGUAGAAAGAAAGAGACAGAAAAGUAGAGAGAGUGAGAAAGAGAGAGUGAGAAAUAGAAAAGUAGAGAGAGAGUGAGAAAGAGAGAGUGAGAAAUAGAGAAGUAGAGAGAGUGAGAAAUAGAGACGUAGAGAGAGAGUGAGAAAGAGAGUGAGAAAUAGAGAAGUAGAGAGAGAGUGAGAAAUAGAGACGUAGAGAGAGAGUGAAAAAGAGAGUGAGAAAUAUAGAAGUAGAGAGAGUGAGAAAUAUAGAAGUAGAGAGAGAGAGUGAGAAAUAGAGACGUAGAGAGAGAGUGAGAAAUAGAGACGUAGAGAGAGAGUGAGAAAGAGUGAGAAAUAGAGAAGUAGAGAGAGUGAGAAAUAGAGACGUAGAGAGAGAGUGAGAAAUAGAGAAGUAGAGAGCAAAAGAGAGAGUGAGAAGUAGAGAGCAAACGAGAGAGUGAGAAGUAGAGAAGUAGAGAGCAAAAGAAAGAGUGAGAAGUAGAGAAGUAGAGAGCAAAAGAAAGAGUGAGAAAUAUAGAAAUAGAGAGAGAGUGGGAAAGAUAGAGUGAGAAUUAGAGAAGUAGAGAGAGAGUGAGAAAGAGAGAGUGAGAUAGAGAAGUAGAGAGAGAGUGAGAAAUAGAGUGAGAAAUAGAGACGUAGAGAGAGAGUGAGAAAUAGAGUGAGAAAUAGAGACGUAGAGAGAGAGUGAGAAAGAGAGUGAGAAAUAGAGGAGUAGAGAGCAAAAGAGAGUGAGAAAUAGAGAAGUAGAGAGCAAAAGAGAGAGUGAGAAGUAGAGAAGUAGAGAGCAAAAGAAAGAGUGAGAAAUAUAGAAAUAGAGAGAGAGUGGGAAAGAGAGUGAGAAUUAGAGAAGUAGAGAGCGAAAGAGAGAGUGAGAAAGAGAGAGUGGUUGCUAAGCAGUUAAUAGGUGGUUGCUAAACCCUGGCUGGGGUGCCGGGGUGUCCAAACUUUUGACUGAUAGCUGCUCCAUACAGCAGCUCCUCCAUACACUCACAGUACUGGAGGAGCAGGGGAGAGAAGGGGUUCCGUGCGCAGAGCUGC
Astyanax mexicanus (Mexican tetra) is the source of this 2038-nucleotide long non-coding RNA. RefSeq lists it as uncharacterized. The transcript has 3 exons. The record is from RefSeq and is a predicted model, not a curated record. NCBI's taxonomy places the organism in Eukaryota, Metazoa, Chordata, Actinopteri, Characiformes, Acestrorhamphidae.